RNAcentral lists this ribosomal RNA (31 nucleotides) under Rhizopus arrhizus. Its description in RNAcentral is "Rhizopus oryzae partial 28S large subunit ribosomal RNA". The record is from RNAcentral. Lineage: Eukaryota; Fungi; Mucoromycota; Mucoromycetes; Mucorales; Rhizopodaceae.
UAUGAUCUGAAGUCAGGUGGGAUUUACCCGC